UUAAAUUGAAGAGUUUGAUCAUGGCUCAGAUUGAACGCUGGCGGCAGGCCUAACACAUGCAAGUCGAACGGUAACAGGAAGAAGCUUGCUUCUUUGCUGACGAGUGGCGGACGGGUGAGUAAUGUCUGGGAAACUACCUGAUGGAGGGGGAUAACUACUGGAAACGGUAGCUAAUACCGCAUAACGUCGCAAGACCAAAGAGGGGGACCUUCGGGCCUCUUGCCAUCGGGUGUGCCCAGAUGGGAUUAGCUAGUAG
This 256-nucleotide ribosomal RNA is filed under the name Escherichia coli O157:H7 str. K6687. Its description in RNAcentral is "partial 16S ribosomal RNA". It matches the Rfam family "Bacterial small subunit ribosomal RNA", at positions 1 to 251 of the family's 1533-position model. The record is from RNAcentral. Lineage: Bacteria; Pseudomonadati; Pseudomonadota; Gammaproteobacteria; Enterobacterales; Enterobacteriaceae.